CCUACGGGCGGCAGCAGUGGGGAAUAUUGCACAAUGGGGGAAACCCUGAUGCAGCGACGCCGCGUGAGUGAAGAAGUAAUUCGUUAUGUAAAGCUCUAUCAGCAGGGAAGAAAAUGACGGUACCUGAUUACGAAGCCCCGGCUAACUACGUGCCAGCAGCAGCGGCAAUACGUAGGGGGCAAGCGUUAUCCGGAUUUACUGGGUGUAAAGGGAGCGUAGACGGCAGUGCAAGUCUGGAGUGAAAGGCGGGGGCUCAACCCCCGGACGGCUCUGGAAACUGUACGGCUGGAGUGCAGGAGAGGUAAGUGGAAUUCCUAGUGUAGCGGUGAAAUGCGUAGAUAUUAGGAGGAACACCAGUGGCGAAGGCGGCUUACUGGACUGUAACUGACGUUGAGGCUCGAAAGCGUGGGGAGCAAACAGGAUUAGAUACCCCGGUAGUC
RNAcentral lists this ribosomal RNA (440 nucleotides) under uncultured bacterium. RNAcentral's name for it is "partial 16S ribosomal RNA". It matches the Rfam family "Bacterial small subunit ribosomal RNA", at positions 338 to 795 of the family's 1533-position model. The record is from RNAcentral.